CAUGCGCCGGCCUCUUUCGCGCCGCAUGUUGCCGAACGUCGGCUUUCGUCAGCCUCACUCUCGGCGGCAUACCUGCAAUUUCAACAGAGGAUCAGCACCAGCAAAAAAAAAAGGAAGAAGAGACGACAGACCGAGGUGUACCUAGACGAGGAAUCGAGCUCAGACCGACGUCAUACAGAGCUUGCUCGGUGACAAGCUCCCUCUGCUUCGACAUCGAGAUAUCCUUCAAACGAUGAAAAUCCUCUCGAUCCCCGUCCUCCACCUGACUAUUCUCAUUC
Molecule: long non-coding RNA, 278 nt
Filed under: Elaeis guineensis (African oil palm)
Lineage: Eukaryota; Viridiplantae; Streptophyta; Magnoliopsida; Arecales; Arecaceae
Description: long non-coding RNA (EGUI_LNC027622)
Source: RNAcentral